GAUGAAGAACGCAGCGAAAUGCGAUAAGUAAUGUGAAUUGCAGAAUUCAGUGAAUCAUCGAAUCUUUGAACGCACCUUGCGCCCUUUGGCCAUUCCGAAGGGCAUGCCUGUUUGAGUAUCAUGAACACCUCAACUCUUUAUGGUUUUCCAUGAUGAGCUUGGACUUUGGGGGUUUUGCUGGCCUAUGGUCGGCUCCUCUAAAAUAAAUCAGCUUACCGGUGUUUGGUGGGUAUCAUGGGUGUGAUAACUAUCUACGCUUGUGGUUUUUCCACCAGGUAACCUUCGACAGCGGAGGUUCACUGGAGCUCAUAGAUGUCUCUCCUCAGCGAGGACAGCCCUUUAAUGUUUGAUCUCAAAUCAGGUAGGACUACCCGCUGAACUUAAGCAUAUCAAUAAGCGGAGGA
Molecule: unclassified non-coding RNA, 404 nt
Filed under: soil metagenome
Description: partial contains 5.8S ribosomal RNA, internal transcribed spacer 2, and large subunit ribosomal RNA
Rfam family: 5.8S ribosomal RNA (bases 1-121)
Source: RNAcentral